GCUUAACACAUGCAAGUCGAACGGUGAAGCCCUUCGGGGUGGAUCAGUGGCGAACGGGUGAGUAACACGUGGGAAAUCUGCCCUGCACUCUGGGACAAGCCCGGGAAACUGGGUCUAAUACCGGAUAUGACCUUCCUCUGCAUGGGGGUUGGUGGAAAGCUCCGGCGGUGCAGGAUGAUCCCGCGGCCUAUCAGCUUGUUGGUGGGGUAAUGGCCUACCAAGGCGACGACGGGUAGCCGGCCUGAGAGGGCGACCGGCCACACUGGGACUGAGACACGGCCCAGACUCCUACGGGAGGCAGCAGUGGGGAAUAUUGCACAAUGGGCGAAAGCCUGAUGCAGCGACGCCGCGUGACCGAUGACGGCCUUCGGGUUGUAAACCUCUUUCAGCAGGGAAGAAGCGCAAGUGACGGUACCUGCAGAAGAAGCACCGGCUAACUACGUGCCAGCAGCCGCGGUAAUACGUAGGGUGCGAGCGUUGUCCGGAAUUAUUGGGCGUAAAGAGCUCGUAGGCGGCUUGUCACGUCGGGUGUGAAAGCCCGGGGCUUAACCCCGGGUCUGCAUUCGAUACGGGCAGGCUUGAGUGUGGUAGGGGAGAUCGGAAUUCCUGGUGUAGCGGUGAAAUGCGCAGAUAUCAGGAGGAACACCGGUGGCGAAGGCGGAUCUCUGGGCCAUUACUGACGCUGAGGAGCGAAAGCGUGGGGAGCGAACAGGAUUAGAUACCCUGGUAGUCCACGCCGUAAACGUUGGGAACUAGGUGUUGGCGACAUUCC
This 772-nucleotide ribosomal RNA is filed under the name Kitasatospora aureofaciens. RNAcentral's name for it is "bacterial SSU rRNA". It matches the Rfam family "Bacterial small subunit ribosomal RNA", at positions 46 to 835 of the family's 1533-position model. The record is from RNAcentral. Lineage: Bacteria; Bacillati; Actinomycetota; Actinomycetes; Kitasatosporales; Streptomycetaceae.